UACAGAGGGUGCGAGCGUUAAUCGGAAUUACUGGGCGUAAAGCGCACGUAGGUGGCGACGUAAGUCGGGUGUGAAAGCCCCGGGCUCAACCUGGGAAUUGCAUUCGAGACUGCAUUGCUGGAGUCCGGUAGAGGGGGGCAGAAUUCCCGGUGUAGCGGUGAAAUGCGUAGAUAUCGGGAGGAACAUCGGUGGCGAAGGCGGCCCUCUGGACCAGGACUGACGCUCAGGUGCGAAAGCGUGGGGAGCAAACAGG
RNAcentral lists this ribosomal RNA (253 nucleotides) under uncultured bacterium. RNAcentral's name for it is "partial 16S ribosomal RNA". It matches the Rfam family "Bacterial small subunit ribosomal RNA", at positions 524 to 776 of the family's 1533-position model. The record is from RNAcentral.